Molecule: unclassified non-coding RNA, 418 nt
Filed under: Hevea brasiliensis (rubber tree)
Lineage: Eukaryota; Viridiplantae; Streptophyta; Magnoliopsida; Malpighiales; Euphorbiaceae
Source: RNAcentral
GGCCUAUUGCAUUUAAGUCCUCUUGCAAUUGAAACCAACAAGAAUACAUAAUAGGCUUUCUAAUAGGCACAUUCUCUAUUUUUGUUUUUUAACCUUUAUUGUUCUUACUAUUUCCUUAUCUAAAAAAACGUAGUGUUUUCCUUAAACCUAAAAUUGUUUCAUAAUUCUUUUGUACACAAUUAGUACUUUGUUAAACUAUAUAAGUUUCUUCUAUAUAUUUUUGUUAAUUUCUUUUCUUUUUCUCCCCCUCAAGCAUGGUAAGGUGAUAGGUGUUGUUUGCACCUUGUUAUUUUAAAGGUCACGAGGAAUCCAAUCACAAGAAUUAGUUAUAGAAACUUACAUAUAGUCAAUGCAAUUUGAUGUACACCUAUGUACUUGAUUCUUUUUUCCUUUUCACUAUGAAUUUGGGAGAAUAAAC